This is a non-coding RNA of Cinara cedri, 522 nucleotides long. The record is from the annotation of a GenBank genome assembly. Lineage: Eukaryota; Metazoa; Arthropoda; Insecta; Hemiptera; Aphididae.
CUAACGUUACAAAAAUAAAAAUAUCGAUUCGACAUUUGACCCUGACUGUUUUCAUACUCCGUCCCGGUUCUAUUCCGUACAGUGCAAUCCUCAAAUUGAAGUAGCAAACUGCACGGCGGUACACAGUGCGUACAAUAUUUUUUCUCGGCCAAAGGACGAAAUGGGUUGUAUACAAUUUCGUAGAAUUUUAAUUAUUUUUAAAUUUUAAACAUUAGACGCGAUCUCGAGGCUUUUUACGCGACCCGAAAUCGGGUUGAACCGGUCGAAGACCACUGACGCGGCCACGGCGCCAACAUUAUUUUUAUGUUCGCGGCUCGCACGCCGAAUCGACGGUUUCGCGCCGUAGUGUUUAUUGUGUUGCGUAGCCCCGGGUAACGUUACGACGCCGUCAUCAUUGUUCGCGACAAAAAUAAAUGCCUAACGCGCCGACACGCGGUGGCAGUGGCGAGAAAUCCCGUAACGCGGCAUCGGUACUCUUUUACGCCGAUUGCCAUAAAAAAUAAAUACAUAUCAUGGUCCGUC